This 255-nucleotide ribosomal RNA is filed under the name uncultured bacterium. RNAcentral describes it as "partial 16S ribosomal RNA". It matches the Rfam family "Bacterial small subunit ribosomal RNA", at positions 524 to 776 of the family's 1533-position model. The record is from RNAcentral.
UACGUGGGGUGCAAGCGUUGUUCGGAAUUACUGGGCGUAAAGCGUGUGUAGGCGGCUCGUUAAGUCUGACGUGAAAUCCCUGGGCUUAACCCAGGAACUGCAUCGGAAACUAGCGAGCUUGAGUCCGGGAGAGGGUAGUGGAAUUCCUGGUGUAGAGGUGAAAUUCGUAGAUAUCAGGAGGAACGACCGGUGGCGAAGGCGGCUACCUGGGACCGGUACUGACGCUGAGACACGAAAGCGUGGGGAGCAAACAGG